UACGUAGGGUGCGAGCGUUAAUCGGAAUUACUGGGCGUAAAGCGUGCGCAGGCGGUUUUGUAAGCCAGAUGUGAAAUCCCCGGGCUUAACCUGGGAAUGGCAUUUGGGACUGCAAGGCUGGAGUGCGGCAGAGGAGACUGGAAUUCCUGGUGUAGCAGUGAAAUGCGUAGAUAUCAGGAGGAACACCGAUGGCGAAGGCAGGUCUCUGGGCUGACACUGACGCUCAUGCACGAAAGCGUGGGGAGCGAACAGG
Molecule: ribosomal RNA, 253 nt
Filed under: uncultured bacterium
Lineage: Bacteria
Description: partial 16S ribosomal RNA
Rfam family: Bacterial small subunit ribosomal RNA
Source: RNAcentral